ACCUAAGCAUUGGUGAAAGAAAAGGGUAAAUUGGCAACAAAGACAGUAGCAGAGCAGUGAGGAGUGUUGCCACUGUCUUUCAGCUUCUUCUUGUUUCCCAUUCUCUGAUAGUGUAUAAUGGGAGCAGAGAAUGUUAGCAUAGUGCAUAAUGGCAGUAAAUUAAGACAUCUUCAGGUUAUGUAAAAAUAUGUGAUCUAUUUAUUUGUUCGAUAUAAUUAAUAUUAGUAUACUUGUUAUAGAGUCCUAGAUUAAAGUAAAAUGGAAGCUUAACCACAUUGAUGAGGAGGUCUUAGGAAUUUCUACUCCAAGCUCUUUGAUAAUGUUGCACGCAAAUCAUUCUCAAUGUUAAUUUUGUGGUAAACAUCUUAUGAAUUAGAGAAAUGUUUAAGGCACAAUUAUUAAUUUCAUUCAAAAAAUCCCAUUGGCAGAAUAUGCAGAAAAGUUUUGGGGCUAUAUCAUACACACACUCAUGUGGAGAGAAAUCUAACAAGCCCGAAUAUGUAUUUAAAAAAUAGAAUAUAAUCAUUUACAUAAUAUUUUAGAAGAAAAUUCGAGUAAAUAAAAUCGUUCAAACAACCACAAGCUUCAAUUGUGAAGCAUUCUAUUUCGCUUCCAACUUCCGAGCCUUGAACCAGGGAGGAGCCAUGAUUUCACUCCAAGGAGGGAAAGACUUGAAUACCGAAAAAAAGUGCAACCAAAGCAAUAAAACAAUACUAUAUAAAUGAAAAAUGUUUUUAAAAUUGUUGCCUGCAGGUUUUCAGAGCUUGUAACAAGUUCACCUAGUAAACUGGUGUAAUGGAUUAGAGUAGUUAAUCUUCAUCAAUGAUUUGAUUAGAUCACACUCCAUGAUAGUAUCUUGAUAUGUGAAACAUCUUAAGCCAAAAGAAAUCCCCCAAAAUCUGAAAACAGGAAAAACCCAGAGUAGGAAUUGCAGAAAUCGUGUUUGAUUCUUCAAGAUGAUGAACAAAUCCAAUAGAAGUGACCAUCCUCUAAUUUUUUAGUGAAAUAGCUAUUGAAACGAAGAUGCAAUUAAUGCAAGAUUGAUGUGUGCUCUGGUUUAUAUUUUAGUUACAAAAGGUGUAUAGGAGUAAUUAUAGGAAAUGGUAAUUAUAAUGAUUUUUUAUGUAUUAUAUCAGUACAAUCUAUAAGAGUGAAUAAAAAUUCACUGUUCACACUUUCGUCCAAAACGGUGUUGUUGUGGACAAAUGUAAA
Molecule: long non-coding RNA, 1212 nt
Filed under: Olea europaea (common olive)
Lineage: Eukaryota; Viridiplantae; Streptophyta; Magnoliopsida; Lamiales; Oleaceae
Description: long non-coding RNA (OEUR_LNC005792)
Source: RNAcentral